UUACGGAAGGCAGCAGUGAGGAAUAUUGGUCAAUGGGCGCAAGCCUGAACCAGCCAUCCCGCGUGCAGGAAGAAGGCGCUAUGCGUUGUAAACUGCUUUUCCAGGGGGCGAAUAGUCCCGACGUGUCGGGAUAUGACGGUACCCUGGGAAUAAGCAUCGGCUAACUCCGUGCCAGCAGCCGCGGUAAUACGGAGGAUGCGAGCGUUAUCCGGAUUUAUUGGGUUUAAAGGGUGCGUAGGCGGGAUAAUAAGUCAGUGGUGAAAACCUGCAGCUUAACUGUAGAACUGCCAUUGAUACUGUUAUUCUUGAGUGUGGUCAAGGUAGGCGGAAUGUGUAAUGUAGCGGUGAAAUGCUUAGAUAUUACACAGAACACCGAUUGCGAAGGCAGCUUACUGGACCAUUACUGACGCUGAUGCACGAAAGCGUGGGGAGCGAACAGGAUUAGAUACCCCGGUAGA
Molecule: ribosomal RNA, 458 nt
Filed under: uncultured bacterium
Lineage: Bacteria
Description: bacterial SSU rRNA
Rfam family: Bacterial small subunit ribosomal RNA
Source: RNAcentral